Molecule: ribosomal RNA, 279 nt
Filed under: uncultured bacterium
Lineage: Bacteria
Description: partial 16S ribosomal RNA
Rfam family: Bacterial small subunit ribosomal RNA
Source: RNAcentral
UACCGCGUGCGGGACGAAGGCUUUUGGGUCGUAAACCGCUUUUGUUAGGGAAGAAUAACUGACGGUACCUAACGAAUCAGCAUCGGCUAACUCCGUGCCAGCAGCCGCGGUAAUACGGGGGAUGCAAGCGUUAUCCGGAAUUAUUGGGCGUAAAGCGUCCGCAGGUGGUUUAUCAAGUCUGCUGUCAAAGCGUGGGGCUUAACCCCAUAAAGGCAGUGGAAACUGAGAGACUAGAGUACGGUAGGGGUAGCGGGAAUUCCCAGUGUAGCGGUGAAAUGC